Molecule: ribosomal RNA, 448 nt
Filed under: uncultured bacterium
Lineage: Bacteria
Description: bacterial SSU rRNA
Rfam family: Bacterial small subunit ribosomal RNA
Source: RNAcentral
CCUACGGGUGGCUGCAGUCGAGGAUCUUCGGCAAUGGGCGCAAGCCUGACCGAGCGACGCCGCGUGUGCGAUGAAGGCCCUUCGGGUUGUAAAGCACUGUCGAGAGGGAGCAAGCCGCAAGGUUGAGCGACCUCUGGAGGAAGCACGGGCUAAGUUCGUGCCAGCAGCCGCGGUAAGACGAACCGUGCGAACGUUGUUCGGAAUCACUGGGCUUAAAGGGCGCGUAGGCGGGAUGGCAAGUCGGAGGUGAAAGCCCCCAGCUUAACUGGGGAAGUGCCCUCGAUACUGCCGUUCUCGAGAGAGGUAGGGGCGUGUGGAACUUCCGGUGGAGCGGUGAAAUGCGUAGAUAUCGGAAGGAACGCCGGUGGCGAAAGCGAUGCGCUGGACCUUUUCUGACGCUGAGGCGCGAAAGCUAGGGGAGCGAACGGGAUUAGAUACCCUAGUAGUC